CGAAUGCUGACAUAAGUAACGAUAAAGCGGGUGAAAAGCCCGCUCGCCGGAAGACCAAGGGUUCCUGUCCAACGUUAAUCGGGGCAGGGUGAGUCGACCCCUAAGGCGAGGCCGAAAGGCGUAGUCGAUGGGAAACAGGUUAAUAUUCCUGUACUUGGUGUUACUGCGAAGGGGGGACGGAGAAGGCUAUGUUGGCCGGGCGACGGUUGUCCCGGUUUAAGCGUGUAGGCUGGUUUUCCAGGCAAAUCCGGAAAAUCAAGGCUGAGGCGUGAUGACGAGGCACUACGGUGCUGAAGCAACAAAUGCCCUGCUUCCAGGA
This 319-nucleotide ribosomal RNA is filed under the name Escherichia coli. RNAcentral describes it as "partial 23S ribosomal RNA". It matches the Rfam family "Bacterial large subunit ribosomal RNA", at positions 1291 to 1613 of the family's 2925-position model. Lineage: Bacteria; Pseudomonadati; Pseudomonadota; Gammaproteobacteria; Enterobacterales; Enterobacteriaceae. The record is from RNAcentral.